UAUCUGUAUUAAUUUGAGGUAAUAUGGUAGUAGUAUAUUAUAAUUUUACAUGGGAAACCAAGAGGGAAAAUAUAUCAUAUGAUUAUGAAUAGAUUGGCUGUGAUUAAGAAGCGUCACGGAGUAAUCGUAUUCUUCAAUCUUCACUUGGUUCAGGCGUUCAGCGCGUGGUUCUUUGUGUUGAAUUCCAGUCGAGAUUUUUGUCCGAGGGGGUGAAAUCCUAGUCCAUGUGGAUAUCACCGGGCAAUCCUGAUGGUUUCUCACUCAGAAUUUAGGGUUUUUUAUCCGAAUUCUGUAAAUUUUGCUGGACUUACUGGUCGGUGGCUUUGAACAUGGUUGUCCUCGUUUAUUUAUUACUUCCGCUGUUUGAUUUGGGGAUUCCUGUUUGCAAAUGAAUAUAACAACUGAAAAAUUCUAGGGAUUCUAGUGAAAAUUCCGUUAAACUGCCUCAGUCUGUGAUCGGACAUGUGUGAUUUCUGAUCUAAACCACUAUGCUUUAUGUCGUCCAUACGCCUCCUCUAGGUUAAUAUUCUGCAUUGCAUCUGCUUUUUGGAUGAAACUUUAGUAUCUUUUUCAUUUAUUCGAUGCAUUUCGACUUGAAAUUUUGUCUUUAUUGUUUUGCUUCCUUCUAGAAUCUCUGUUCUGGGGAAGGUUCGUGUUCUGUUGUCUGGUUUCACAUGUGCUUCUUUAGUUUUGGAGAACUUUGUCUCCAUUCUCUGGUGUUUCUUAGCACAUAAGCUAGAGGGGGUUCUAUUUAUAUCGGGUUUGAUGGUUGAUUGAAGAAGGAUGGUUAAAUUGACUGACCUGCAUGAACUUUGAACUUAUGAGACCAUCCAAAAUUUGAAUUAUCAUUGAUGAAUUACACAUGAAUGUGCAUACGUUUUGUUACUGAUGUCUCUAUCUGCUGUCUUUUGAUUCAUUUAACUUGCAUUUUGUUCCUAUUGGUGGCGUAUGUCCAAAGUUUAUAUAGGAUGAACUUCAGCAUUUUUCGCCAUACACUGACAUCCCAACGUAUGGCCUGAUUGUCAAUGAAAAUAUUGUGUUUCAGAUUGUGUAUCUUUUGGUGUGAGCCUUACAGCUCAUGGUAAUCCCAUCAGUAGAUGAAUCAUCAGCUGUAGCAAUGUUUGGGUUGAUUGAGGACUUCCAGAUGCUGUCGCCGUGAGGUGCCUUGCACAUGUGCCCUUAACCCUCCAUCCAACACUAGAAGUCGUUUCUCGUUCUUGGCGAACUCUUCAAAGCCCGACAGGAAGUCGGGUCGUCUGAGGAUCUCCUGUGUGUGUGCGCGCUUUCGAUCCCAAGAAUCUCUGGCAGGUGUAUGAUCCCCUCAACGACCUCUGGCUCACCCUCCCUGUCCUCCCGUCCAAAAGCUGCCAUCUCUCCCAUUUUGGUGUUGUAUCCACUGGUGGGAGGCUGCUUGUGCUGGGUGGAGGGACCGAUGUCGUCGAUCCACUAACCGGUAAUCAAGACGGGACAUUUACAACGGAUGAAGUCUGGUCAUACGACUUCAUACAGAGACGCUGGACUCCAACGGAUGAGGGAGGAGGUUUACAUCAUAGGAGGAGUCAUAGGCCCUGACCGCUUCAAUUGGGACAUCAACCCACUCUCUGACGUCGACGUGUGGGGGGUUACCAGCGAUCGUCUUACGUGACGGAGGGUGGCUCCUGUGACUCGCUGCCGCGGCACUAUCCUUGGCUGUACCCACCUCCGCAUCUGAUUAUUAUAAUCUUAUUACAAAAACAAAAAAAACAAAGAACAAAGUCUUUGUUUUUUUUUUUGUCUUAAAUGGCAUACUGUAUUAGGCGACACCCGUGGAUUUUCUACAUUGUAACUCUCGUCGACUACACAUCUUUCAAAUGUGUAAUAUUGGUGGCACUCGGUGUGUCGUUCCUAGUCU
This is a long non-coding RNA of Tarenaya hassleriana, 1891 nucleotides long. RefSeq lists it as uncharacterized. The transcript is spliced from 2 exons. The record is from RefSeq and is a predicted model, not a curated record. NCBI's taxonomy places the organism in Eukaryota, Viridiplantae, Streptophyta, Magnoliopsida, Brassicales, Cleomaceae.